AUUGAACGCUGGCGGCAUGCUUUACUCAUGCAAGUCGAACGGUAACAGGGUGCUUGUACCGCUGACGAGUGGCGAACGGGUGAGUAAUGCGUCGGAACGUGCCGAGUAGUGGGGGAUAACGCAGCGAAAGUUGUGCUAAUACCGCAUACGUACUGAGGUAGAAAGUGAGGGACCUUCGGGCCUCACGCUAUUCGAGCGGCCGACGUCUGAUUAGCUAGUAGGUGAGGUAAAGGCUCACCUAGGCGACGAUCAGUAGCGGGUCUGAGAGGAUGAUCCGCCACACUGGGACUGAGACACGGCCCAGACUCCUACGGGAGGCAGCAGUGGGGAAUUUUGGACAAUGGGCGAAAGCCUGAUCCAGCCAUGCCGCGUGCCUGAAGAAGGCCUUCGGGUUGUAAAGGACUUUUGUCAGGGAGGAAAUCCCUAGUGCUAAUAACACUGGGGGAUGACAGUACCUGAAGAAUAAGCACCGGCUAACUACGUGCCAGCCGCCGCCGUAA
RNAcentral lists this ribosomal RNA (500 nucleotides) under uncultured bacterium. RNAcentral describes it as "partial 16S ribosomal RNA". It matches the Rfam family "Bacterial small subunit ribosomal RNA", at positions 30 to 523 of the family's 1533-position model. The record is from RNAcentral.